CUCUUAAGCACUUUUUUGUCCAACCGGUUGCUCAUUUUUGGUGGCAGGAAGAUUGCAACCUACCUGAACAACGUCAACAUUUUGCAUCUCGAAGGCUUUAUGGAGUACACAGCUGUGAAAUAUGAGAUCAUGCCAUCACUGCCUCGAGGAUAUCAUGCAUCACUGCCAGUAUCAGGCAACAGGAUGCUGGUCAGUGGAGGUUGUAGUGCUAUUGGAGUCUUGCAGGACAUCCAAAUCUUCAACGUGGGUUCUUUUCAGACACCAGUAUGUGGAGUUCAGUGGUAUCCCCUCUGCACUGCGCCAAGCCUCGUGCCGGACACAGCAUGAUCAACCUGGGAGGUUCUGUCCUUCCAGACACUGUCAAACUUCUUCAAUGACACAGUGAAGUGCAUAGUGGAGAAACCUGGAGAUAAGAGACUGGACCUUAAGGAGAAACUAAAACAGCCUUAUGGGGAAUAAGGGGGAAAAAUGUGACUUUUUAUCCCUGUGUCUGGCUUACAAAUUCUGAAUGAUAUGAGUGAAUGUAUCAUGGGCAGAACUCAUACAGGGACUGUUGAGUCCUUUGUAUUUGCUCUUCUGUGUAAUGGCUCUGUUACAUUAGGCUUGGAUGUAAUUAAGUCUUCAGUAACAGUUUUAUUGUGGCCACUGAAGGCUGUAGUCUAGCCUGAUUUGCUAUUUUCCUGGAGGGGGAUGUUGAUUGUCAGUUAUGGUGCAAGUUAUGCCUUUUUAAUCACACUGUUGUCAGGUGUCUGACAUUACAUUAUGGGUUGUUAACUUUUUUAUAUUGAUGUUCAAGUGGCAUUCUCCCCAUCUGAGAAAUGGUAUAGGCACCAGAUCUAACAAACAUCUCUCCUGUGUUCUAGAUAUUUUCUCACCAAUGUGUGUUGAAAGCAAAGAACUUUCUAUUUAAUUUACAUUUUUUAAGCAUGGGUUAAUUAACUGCUGCAUGAUAUUAGUUGAACUUCAGCUAUUUUACUAAACCAAUUAUUAAACAAAUUUCCACUUCCA
Long non-coding RNA from Salmo salar (Atlantic salmon), 1008 nucleotides. RefSeq lists it as uncharacterized. Lineage: Eukaryota; Metazoa; Chordata; Actinopteri; Salmoniformes; Salmonidae. The record is from RefSeq and is a predicted model, not a curated record.